This is an RNA transcript of Brassica rapa (field mustard), 3270 nucleotides long. It is a transcript of the gene named mediator of RNA polymerase II transcription subunit 15a, with no coding region annotated. Lineage: Eukaryota; Viridiplantae; Streptophyta; Magnoliopsida; Brassicales; Brassicaceae. The record is from RefSeq and is a predicted model, not a curated record.
AAAAAAAGUUAAGAAAUGAAUUCUUAUAGCUGAAAACCCCACAAGAACCCUGUUAAACAUGCUCUCGUAAGCAAAGUUGAGGGGACACAGUUGUCAGCUUAAGACGCAUGAAGUUUCCUUCCUCUGCGUUUGCCCAGAAACAUUCUUUUAUAUAUUCUUCAAUUUCAUUUCGCGAUUAACCUAAACCUUAAUUUAACUUCUAUUUUUUUCCUAAAGUCAGACUCUAAUCGUUUGUAGCAACCGCGAAAUCGCCUCGACACGCUUUGAAAAGUUUAGGAACACUUGAUGGAUAACAACAAUUGGAGACUUUCCAUUCCAAAUGGAGAAUCUGCAGCCAUUAACAAUGGUGAGUGGAGAAAACAGUUGCCACCUGAUUCACGCCAGAAGAUCGUUAACAAGAUAAUGGAAAUACUAAGCAGGCACCUUCCUCAAUCUGGACCAGAAGGAAUUAAUGAGCUCAUGAGAAUUGCUGCCAGGUUCGAGGAGAAAAUUUUCAGCGGUGCUGUUAACCAGACUGAUUACCUUCGGAAGAUAUCCAUGAAGAUGCUGGCUAUGGAGACUAAAUCUCAAAAUGCAGCUGGCUCUUCAGCAACUACCCCUGCUGCUAAUAAUACCACAUCAAUGGAUUCAAUACCCGCCAAUCAAGGGCAACUUCUUCCAGGAACGUUACCGAACAAUCAAUCUCAAGCACCUCAGCCGUUGAUGUCCCAAACCAUUCAGAGUAAUACAGCCUCUGGAAUGGCGGGCUCUACUGGUUUACCAUCUUCCAUACCGCCUGUUUCUUCCAUAGGCAAUGAUAAUGUCACAAGUGUUGUAAAUCAGAAUUCCAAUAUGCAAAAUGUAGCCGGAGUGUUGCAAGAUUCAUCUGGGCAGCAUGGCCUUUCGUCCAACAUGCUUUCAGGAUCCCAUAGGCAGAUGUUGCGCAGGCCGCAUACUAUGUCUUCUCAGCAGCAGCAACUUCUCAGGCAGAAUUUUCGGUCAGGGAACUUUUCCAAUCCCAAUUCGGUUUUGCCGUCGCAGAUACAUCCUGGUAGUACGACAUCUGCGACGCAGCCCUCAGCUGUGAGCUCAGCUCCCCUCCAAGGUCUCCACACAAAUCAACAAUCAAGUCCUCAAGUGUCUGCUCAAUCAUCGCUGCUAAGGCAACAUCCGCAAUCACAACAAGCCUCUGUGAUCCAUCAGCAACAAACUUCAUUGCCGCAGCAGUCUAUUUCUCCUCAGCAGCAAGCACAACUGAUGCGGCAACAAGCUUCAAAUAGCUCUGUCAUCCAACAGAGGCAGAUGAUGGGGCAGCAUGUUGUUGGGGCUAUGCAGCAGCAACAUCAGCAAAGGUUACUGAACCAACAAAAUAAUACUAUGAACAUGCAACAGCAGCAGAAUCAACACCCACCGGCCCAGCAGCAAUUCAUAUCUCAACAAAACAGCCUUCAUCAGCAGCAACCACUGGGCAUUCAAAGCAAUGUUGCAGGACUGCAGCAACCACAACAACAGUUGCUCAGUUCCCAGACUAACCAGCAGUCGGUGCACAUGUUAUCACAGCCAACCGCUGCACUGCAACGAACACACCAGGCUGGCCAUGGCUUAUUUCCUUCUCAGGGACAACAGUCACAAAAUCAGCCAUCCCAGCAGCAGAUGAUGCCCCUUCAGUCGCAUCAUCAGCAGUUACAACAACCCAAUCUGCUACAACAGGAUGUGCAACAAAGGCUACAAUCUUCAGGCCAAGUGACAGGUUCCCUGCUUCCACCCCAAAAUGUAGUGGACCAACAGAGACAACUGUAUCAAUCCCAAAGAACCCUUCCGGAGAUGCCAUCAUCAUCGGUAGACUCAACGGCACAGACGGAAAAUGCAAAUGGUGUUGAUUGGCAAGAGGAGGUUUACCAAAAGAUCAAAAUUAUGAAAGAUGCGUACUUACCAGAUGUUACCGAAAUCUACCAGAGAGUUAUAGCCAAGUUGCAGCAAAUGGAUUCUCUUCCGCAGCAACAAAGAUCAGAGCAGUUUAAUAAAUUGAAACAAUUCAAGAUAAUGGUGGAGCGAAUGAUACAAUUCCUGUCGGUUUCAAAGAGAAAUAUCGUGCCUGCAUUAAGGGAUAGGGUGGCUUAUUAUGAGAAGCAGAUUGUAGAUUUCUUAAAUAUGCACAGGCCGAGGAAGCUAGUACAGCAAGGGAAGCUUCCGCAACCUCAGAUGCAGCCUGUGAAGCAACAGUCAUCUCAGAACGGUAAUCUUGCCAUAAACACAGUUGACUGGAGAACUCUACAUCCACCAGCUUCACGCCAAAAGAAUGUCAACACGCUAUUGGAAACACUGAAGAAGAAUCUUCCAUAUUCUGGGGAAGAAGGAAUCGAAGAGCUCAUGAGAAUUGCUGUCAGCUUCGAGGAGUUGAUUUUCAACACCGCAAAAAAUCAGAUGGACUACUUUUGCAAAAUAUCCUUGAAGAUGCAGAGUAUGGAAGAGGGAAGCUAAAGCCAAAUAAGGGGGAAGGCAACUGCAUUUACAUAUUUGUAUAUAAAGAAGUGGUUUCUCGUUUUUCUAGUAUCUGUAGCAAUGCAAGAUUCUGUUUGUUAUGUGUAUUUUUGUCGGAUUUAUUAAAAGUCGGAACGGUUCAUUGGUGAGGAGAAAGUGGAGACUAUGUUCUCCCGUCCCGAUUAACCGGGACAAGCCGGUGAUCAUAGAAAUCGGAUUCAAGAUUAUGAUAAGCGGUCUGGCUGUGUGUCAUUUGUUAGAAUUGAGUCCGAGCUUGCGAAGUAACUCGACUGUGUGUUUCGGAGAAAGACAGUCCUAAGUCGUUGGGGUUUUACUUAAAUCACUAAAUCACUGUUGUAACCAUUGUUUCUGUUCGUUAGGUGGAAUUUCAAAUUGAAAAAAAAAAAAAAACAUAUGUUGUUUUUGGUGAAAGGAAAAACUAUUAGAGUUAUCACUUAUUAAAAUAGGUUUAUGUUGACUCUAAUAUUCAAUUAUUUCGUUCUUACUAAUUCUAAUUGGUCGUUCGGGUCGGGUAUUUCAGAUUUUUAGGUAUUUUGGCAUAGGGAUAUAGAACCCGUUUGGGUAUUUUUGUAUUUUGGAUCGGCUUCGAAUAUUUUUAAAUCAGAUUCGGUUAUUUCGGGUUGGGUUCGGAUAUUUAGAUUUUAAAAUAAAAAAUUAUUUUUUUCAUUGUUUUAAGUUUCUUGUAUUUAAAAAUAUAAUUUUCACUCAACUGAUUUUUUUUUAUUUUUAAUAGAUUGAGUGAUUAAUAGAUUUGGAGAUAACAUUGCAAAAAUAAAUAAUUUGGUCAUU